ACGUAAACAACCUGCCUUCAGGAUGGGGACAACAGACGGAAACGACUGCUAAUACCGAAUAAGUUCCAAGAGCCGCAUGGCCCAUGGAAGAAAAGGUGGCCUCUACCUGUAAGCUAUCGCCUGAAGAGGGGUUUGCGUCUGAUUAGCUGGUUGGAGGGGUAACGGGCCCACCAAGGCGACGAUCAGUAGCCGGUCUGAGAGGAUGAACGGCCACACUGGAACUGAGACACGGUCCAGACUCCUACGGGAGGCAGCAUG
This 258-nucleotide ribosomal RNA is filed under the name uncultured bacterium. Its description in RNAcentral is "partial 16S ribosomal RNA". It matches the Rfam family "Bacterial small subunit ribosomal RNA", at positions 115 to 353 of the family's 1533-position model. The record is from RNAcentral.